Molecule: long non-coding RNA, 2084 nt
Filed under: Homo sapiens (human)
Lineage: Eukaryota; Metazoa; Chordata; Mammalia; Primates; Hominidae
Description: HSALNT0004950
Source: RNAcentral
GAGGCUGGUUUUUAAUCAGAAAUUCACCCUUUGGUGUUUUUCUCACCUUGGCACGCUGGGGGAUUGGGAAGGACAAUGAGGAGGGAGGAGGGAGGCUGGGGAGGGAGCCGGUGGGAGGAGUUAGGCCUGGGGCUAGAUUCCUCUAGCUGGCACCCGGCUGGGGAGACAUGUGGCUGCUGCAGGCUCUCUCCUCCGGUCUCCGUCUUUCUCUCCCACUGCUCCAGCCUCCUGGGAACCCUGCCUAGAGUCCACACUUGGAAGAAAAUAUCUGCAGCAGCAACUCCCAUUGUACAUUAUGAGUAUUCGCACCCCUAGGGAAGACAAGAGUGUUUUUAACCCACAUGUAAUAGUAAAGAUUUUCUCGAGUUCCCAUUUCCGGAGAUACAUUUUUUUACCUGGGACUGGAGUUGGGAGAGGCUGCUACUCUUCGGACCUGCGGCUUCUUCUGCUUCCUGAUUCGAGUCCCUGUGAUAAAAGGCCCCAACCCAUGAGGGGCGGGAGGAGUUGAGCGCAGCGAUGCCUGUGGCCAGUUGGGGGCAGCAGAGGGCAGCAGAGCAGGAAUCACGAGGUGCUGGCAAAGAGGGCGGGUGGUGCUGCAGCUGCAGUGAGAGGCCCUGGGUGGAACGCGUGGCCACUGGGUCUGCUCUGCCCCAGAUCUCCAGGCCACACUUUCUGGACUGGCCUGGAUUAGACAGCAAAGACGUGGGAACUGCUUCCAGAAGGCCAGUGGAGAGAACAUGUCGGUAACAGUGUGACAACAUGGUGGUUCCAAGUGACAGACUCAAUUUGAACCAGACAAGGCAAAAAGAAGACUAUGGCUCACGGAGCCCGGGUUUCAGGGACAGUUGCAACCAGGAACUCCAAUGCUAUCAGGACCAUCUCCCUCCUCUCUCCGUGUUGGAUUUAUCCUUUCCGCCUGCAGAUUUGUUCCUUCCAGGGACCGGAACCACUGCCACCAGCAACUUUUGGCUCAGAUGUUCUGUGAUCUGUUGUUUUCCCUCAGUUCUGAUGGGACAAACCUCAGGGGAGGACCUUCCAUAGUCUCAGCGUAGUGCAGUCAUGCUCUCCCCUGUGGCUGGGGGUGGCGUCCUCUGACUGGCAGCCAGGGCUGCAUCCGGAGCACUCUCCAGGUGAAGGGCUCUCUCUGUGGAGGAAUAGAUGGGCGCCAUUCACAUCAACACAGCCUGCGGCGGUGUCCAACACCUUCCCUUCGGCACAACGGCACCAGCCUAUGUCUCUGAUUUGUGAACUGACUUUCAGAAAUCAGGGUGGCAACUUCACCCACCCCUACUCUUCCUGAAAUGAAGGGACAGUGUCCUAGGAGGACCGCAGCGUGUCUCUCCAUCUUUUUUUGUUUGUUUGUUUUUUGAGACGGAGUCUCUCUCUGUCACCCAGGCUGGAGUGCAGUGGUGCCAUCUCGGCUCACUGCAACUUCUGCCUCCCGGGUUCAAGCGAUUCUCCUGCCUCAGCCUCCUGAGUAGCUGGGAUGACAGGCGCGCGCCUCCACGCCCGGCUAAUUUUUGGAUUUUUAGUGGAGACAGGAUUUCACCAUGUUGGCCAGGCGUUUCUCCUGACCUCAGGUGAUCUGCCCGUCUCGGCCUCCCAAAAUGCUGGGAUUACAGGCAUGAGCCACCGCGUCUGGCUGUGCCUCUCCAUCUUAAAUUCACCUCUCUGCCGGUUGCCUUGGUGAAAGUGGAUUCAAGGAAGGGGUCAUCAUGAGAGAGUGCCUGAGCUGAAGGGCAGGAGAGGAGAGGAGGGGUCUGAGCACCUCAGCGAGGCCUCAAUUAGGAUCAGCAAAUAAGAGAUUGUUGCAAAUGUUCUGCAAGAUGCAUUGUAUAGAGCGAUUCACUGUGUGCCUGACAUUUCCUGAUAGCCCUGAAAGCUAAGCAGGGGCUGCUUAGCAUUGCAAUAAAUGUCACCACCUGAACAUUAUUAGUGGUGUCUUCUGACCUGCCGGGUUAUCUGAUGAACAAACCAAGACUCAGAGAGGGGCAGGGGCAUUAGUGCUCCACAGCGAAUUGGACAGCUCAGAACUGGGAUCCAUGGCUCCCGAUUCCUCCAAUUCCAGAGGCCUCGAAUGCCCA